This 346-nucleotide ribosomal RNA is filed under the name uncultured eukaryote. RNAcentral's name for it is "SSU rRNA". It matches the Rfam family "Eukaryotic small subunit ribosomal RNA", at positions 594 to 945 of the family's 1831-position model. The record is from RNAcentral.
AUAGCGUAUAUUAAAGUUGUUGAGGUUAAAAAGCUCGUAGUUGAACCUUGGCCCUGGCUGGCUGGUCCGCCUCACCGCGAGCACUGGUCCGGCCGGGGCUUUCCCUCUGGGGAUCCUCAUGCCCUUCACUGGGUGUGUUGGGGAACCAGGACUUUUACUGUGAACAAAUCAGAUCGCUCAAAGAAGGCUCUCGCUCGAAUGCUUCAGCAUGGAAUAAUAGAAUAGGACGUGUGGUUCUAUUUUGUUGGUUUCUAGGACCACCGUAAUGAUUAAUAGGGAUAGUCGGGGGCAUCAGUAUUCAAUCGUCAGAGGUGAAAUUCUUGGAUCGAUUGAAGACUAACUACUG